RNAcentral lists this small nuclear RNA (360 nucleotides) under Sorex araneus (European shrew). Its description in RNAcentral is "7SK RNA (ENSSARG00000019533.1)". It matches the Rfam family "7SK RNA", at positions 43 to 331 of the family's 331-position model. From Rfam's summary of the family: 7SK was discovered as an abundant small nuclear RNA in the mid-70s but a possible function has only recently been suggested. Two independent studies have found that 7SK RNA binds the CDK9/cyclin T complex (known as elongation factor P-TEFb). The record is from RNAcentral. Lineage: Eukaryota; Metazoa; Chordata; Mammalia; Eulipotyphla; Soricidae.
GGCUCUGCGGUGCGAGCGGGAUACUCUCGGCAGCUUGCCGGGCUCUCCGAGAAAGAUGGAGGAAUCAAACUGGGGUGGGCCAUUGUGCAAGGCAAAUGCCCUACCUGACUAUGCUAUUGUUCCCUUCCUCCCUCACCUCUCCAUGUGCAUCCCUCCUGAAGCUGCGUGACUGGUCAAAGGGGAAGGCCUUCCCUGAAUAGAGACAGACCGGUCUUGGUCUCCCGUCAAGGGUAUACGAGUAGCUGUGCUCCCCUGCUAGAACCUCCAAACAAGCUCUCUCGAAUCUACAUAAGGAUUUGUUAAAAAUGACAGUUAGAGUACAUUUGUUCUUUCUCCCGAUCCUAGUAUACGGAAUAUUUA